RNAcentral lists this long non-coding RNA (3063 nucleotides) under Heterocephalus glaber (naked mole-rat). Its description in RNAcentral is "lncRNA (ENSHGLG00100043589.1)". Lineage: Eukaryota; Metazoa; Chordata; Mammalia; Rodentia; Bathyergidae. The record is from RNAcentral.
UAGCACUUACAGCUGCCAUAUUAAGAUUUGAUUUUAGUUUAUGUUCCCUGUUUGUUGUUCUCAUUUUUAUUGUCAUUUGUUUCUCCUUGUGAGUUACAUUUCUGAAGAAUCCAUUUAAUAUAUCUAGUUUUUUAGCAUAUCUUAUUAUUUUUGUAAUAUUGCUCUAUGUAUCACAAUGCACACCUUAUCGAAGUUUAAAGAUAUCACCAAUUUAGCACUUUGAUAUCUAGAAACCUUAGUUGCAUUAGGUCCUUUUUAUGUAUCAAUUAAUAUAAAUUUUUUCAAUGUUUCCUUUUCACAUGCUGAGCAUCAUUUUGUAAGGUGUAAUUUUUGUUUCAAGCACAUUUUACAGAUGUCAGGAGACGUCUUGGGUUACCUCUACAUUUACCUAGUUUACGCAUUCCAUUGUUCAUUAGUCCUUCUUGAAAUGGCAUGCCUUCCGUGGUUCUCAUUUUCUUUCUGAUGAUCUUCCUCUGGCCUUCCUUCUAGGGUAGGUCUGCUGGUGAGAGGUGCUUAUUGCUUUUUUUCAUCUAAAGAUGUCCUUAUAUUCCCUUCAUUCCUGAAUGGUAUUUUCGUUAGAGUCAGGGUUGUCUCUUCUUGCCAGUCAUGUUUAUUUCUUCUGUCCACCAUGGUUUCUGAUGAGAAAUCUGCUGCUAUUUGAACUGUUGUUUCCCUAGUUCAUGAUGUGCCAUUUCCACCAAACUUUGUUUAAAAUGUUUUUCUUUUUAAUGUUUAGAGUUAUGAAGUCUCUGACAUGGAAUUUUUAAUCUUAAUUUGCUAUUCAUUCAUCUUCAGCUUUCUUAUUUGUAGGUUUAUGCUCUUUGGCAAAUUUGGGAGAUUUUUAUCAUUACUUCAAAUAUUUUUUCAUCCUCAUUCUUUCUGUUCUCUUACAUGAACCUCAGUAACAUGAAUGGUAGAGCUUUUGUUAUUGUCUGUAGGUCUCUCAGGCUCUUAUUCUUUUUCCAAUCUCUUUUUUCUUUUCUUCACAUUAAUUUCAUUUGCUUUUCUUUGUGUUUGUGUUUGUUUGUUUGUUUUCCGGUACCAGGGAUGGAACUCAGGACCUUGUGCUUUCCAGGCAGACGCGGUGCUCCUAAACUACAUCCCUGGCCCUUCCUUGCUUUUCUUUACACUCAACUGAUUUUGUUUGUUUGUUUUUGUUUUUUUGGUCAUAGCUGAUCUGCUGUUGAACUUGUGAGUUUUUCUUUUUGUUUUUGUAUGUUUCAAUGACUUAAUUUCCAUUUGGUUGUUUUUUAUAUCUUACACUUCUUUGCUAAGUUUAUAAUGCCAAAGGAGGACUUGAGAGAAAUAUACAAACCUGUGCAUUCCAGUUGUGGGUUUUUUGGUUGUUUCUCUCACUGAUUGAAUAGAACUGCUAAAUUACCUGGAGGAGUGGAAGUCCUAUGAUUUAUAUUGGGAUCAACAAGUAUUUCUAUGACCUGAUUUUAUAGUUUAGAAAGAUCUGCAGAUUUUUCAGAGUUGUGUUCUUUAGGUAAGGUUUGUAUAUAAAAUUCUCAGCACUCUAAGCAUUGUUAUAUCUUUAAUGAACGUAAUCUCUCCUAGUCUCAAAUUCCCCUUGCCUUUUGUGGCUGGACACAUACUCCUCCUUUACCCAUUCCUCUUUCAUACUGUUUUUUUGUUUAGAAAGGGUUUCAAUGUGUAGUACAGGCUGGUCUUGAGCUCACUGUGUAGCCCAGGUUGGCCUCAAAUUCACAAUUGAUCCUUCUGCUUCAGCUUCCUGAGUGCUGGGAUUACAGAUGCAGACCUCAUGCUGAUGAGGGCGGAAAGGACAGCGUUCCCACCUCCGUAGGGGGUGAGCUGGGCUGAUCUUUCUCUUCUGUGUCACCACUGGGUUCUCAACCAGGACGUCUCCGGCUGGUGUCACCUUGCUGUUGAGCACCGCAGCUCCACAGACCAUUGAGGCCUCAGCUGUUACCGGAGGGAUAGUGGAGUUAUGUUUCUGCAUUCCAUAGCCGCUCUCAGGGAUUGAACUCGGGACCUUGGCGUUUUCGAGGCAGGCGGCAAUGGCACCACUGAGCUAAAUCCCCGGCCCUAUGAGUGAGAUAAACACUUUUCAACUAAAAAAAGAAGAAGGAGCUGAGCAUGGCCAAGCGAUGAAAGAAUGUGAAAGUUUCUUUGUCUUACUGUACCUUUUCCUUGCAAUAAAAGCCCUUGCACAGUUCACUACUCCUAUUGCAAUGCUAAUGUUACUGAUCUUCUCUUCUUGGUGUUCAACAACUAGUUUGGAGACCAAAACUAAAAAGGUAACUGGGCUAUGAGGACAGCCAAUAUUUUAGCCCUGGCCCCUCAAGGUCAACAAAGAUCCAAGACAUAAGGGAACCUUCUCUACAGGAUCCUACCUCUUUGGAGCAGUUGGAGGUCUUUACCAAUCAGACAGUCGGUGAACUCAUUAUGGCCAGUUAUCAACCUUUUGCCACAGGAGACCACGCCAUCAUCACGUAGGACCCAGACCUGUUACCCUUUAUCACUGCCUCUGUGCUCACAGGAAGCAGCUACAAUAAAGAGACCUCUGCCCUUACUCCAUAAUAAUAUCAAGAGUCUGGAAUGAUAGAGUUCUCUGCUAGGUAAAAUGGCCCUGAGAACCCUGCAUCCUAAAAUGGCCCCUACCUACAGGAAACAAGUCACCUCCUUUUUUCCACCUCGCCCCCAGCCGUAGCCAAUCAUCUGCCACUACCACACUCCCCCAGCCCUUAUAAACCUCACCCAGCCAACCCCUGGUUGCUAUUCUCGCCAUUGUUCGAGACAGCCUGGCAGCUCUGCCCCUUAAUAAAAGCUUUAGCUUGGGUGUUCACAUUUUGGCUCAUUUUAUUUCUCUCAAUGAUAACCAGAAAAAGUGAUACCUUGGUUGUCGAAUGGUUCUAAAAAUUGAACUUUCCACUACUUGAAAAGCAAAGUUAAAAAAAAAAUCUGUUUGGUUUUGGUAACUUUGCUCCAUAGUCAAACCGAAAAUCCAAUAGGCUGAGAGUGAGGCAUGUGUCCUAUCUCCCUGUGAACACAAAGGGUGUCAUUUCGGUUUAAGCACCCCUCUUGCCCAGACUACAGGCA